Molecule: unclassified non-coding RNA, 168 nt
Filed under: Leuconostoc suionicum
Lineage: Bacteria; Bacillati; Bacillota; Bacilli; Lactobacillales; Lactobacillaceae
Description: T-box
Source: RNAcentral
AAACAAUCUUAGAGGAUUAAGCAAGCGCACGUUCAGAGAGUUGAUGUUUAGUGGAAAUCAAUCGUGUUAAUGCCCAAGGUUGCUGAGAACUAUAAUUAUAUUAAAUAAAAUAAGCGGUCGUCUUAGACGACAAAUUAGGUGGUACCACGGUAAAAAAUCGUCCUAAUC